AGUAGUAACCAUUCCUUUCAUGCCCUACUGAGUAGAUUGGCUGGAGAAAAUCUCUUGUGGUUCUCAAUACAAACCAUCCCAGCAUUACUGGAGCUUGUCAGCGUUCUGUGUGUGCUAUGAAGCAUCGCAUUGUAGCUGCUGACUUCGAUAUACCACCAAUAAGAGGUCCAGAAUGAUUCUACAGAUGAGAGCAUACUGUCACCCCUUUCGAGCGACAGUGUUCUCGAGGAUCUUGUCAGGCAGCUUGACGCUCCAGAGGAUGGUGGUUGGAUAAAUCCAAACUCAUGUGAAUGCGAUAGUUUUCACUCUUUUCCGAGUAUCCGUUUGCACAAUCCUCGAGUUGUUACGGACUGCUGUGUGGCUCGCUAUGAAUGUUUCAAAAGAGAAUAUUUGAAGAUACCUUCAACAGAAGAAGAACGGUUACAAAUCGCUACUGGUUUUGAGAAUUGAUGGGAUUUUCCAAACUGAAUUGGCGCUAUGGAUGGAAAACAUAGUCAUACAGGCUCCCAAGAAAGAAGGCAGCGUGUACUUUAAUCAUAAAGGGAACCACAGUAUUGUGCUAUUGGCACUGACUGGACCUGACUACAGAGUUAUAUACUUCGAUGUGGGCAGUAAUGGUAGAAUAUCUGAUGGAGUUUUUGAUAAUUGUUGACUGUCAGAAUGUCUUGAGUCUAAUUCUUUGAAUGUACCAGUUCCUCGAAAUCUACCUGGUAGAACUGUACAGAUACCUUACGUCAUUGUUGCUGAUGACGCAUUUCCUCUAAAAAAUUAUAUUAUGAAGACCUACCCUUUUAGAGGCCAACCAGUGCAAAAUCGUGUGUUUAACUAUAUGCUCUCUAGAGCAAGAAAUGUGCUGAAAACUUUUUUGGGCUCAUAUGCACACGUUUUCGAACAUUACGAACGCAAAUUCUUCUAAACCCAGAGAAAUCGAGACAAAUUGCCAAAGCGAUUUGUGCUCUUCAAAACUUUUUACUCGCAAAAGAGAGUAGAAAGUCCGUUUACGCCCCACCUGGCACUUUUUAUUCUCAAGAUUUACAGACGCAAGGAGAAUGGCGCAAAGAUAUAUGGACAGAAACGAAUAUACUGCUAGAACCAAUAAACAAACAUAAUUGGCCACAGAUGGCCAAGGAAGCCAGAAAUAAAUUCACAAACUACUUUGUUUCACCAGAAGGGGAAGUAGCCUGGCAAUACAGGCGCCUUUAAAUUUUGAUUGAUUUCUGAUGAGAGUGUAAACAUAA
Molecule: long non-coding RNA, 1238 nt
Organism: Schistocerca serialis cubense
Lineage: Eukaryota; Metazoa; Arthropoda; Insecta; Orthoptera; Acrididae
Exons: 4
Source: RefSeq, a predicted model, not a curated record